Homo sapiens (human) is the source of this 3078-nucleotide long non-coding RNA. RefSeq lists it as uncharacterized. NCBI's taxonomy places the organism in Eukaryota, Metazoa, Chordata, Mammalia, Primates, Hominidae. The transcript has 2 exons. The record is from RefSeq and is a predicted model, not a curated record.
AUUGCCUUGUGUUCCUCCCAGCUGCAGGAAGGCGUGGGAAUGAUUCCCCAUGUGAAUGAGCACUGGUGGAACUUCCCAGAUCAUUGCUUAGAGCUCCUUUAAUUCUUUCCUUGGUGCUGCAAGGGAUUUUUCUUUUUUUGUGGAAAGUGUCAAUGCUUGUCUUUCAAAAGCACCACCCCCACGCCUGCCACCCCCCAAGAAAAAGUAAAAAGAGGACUUGAAAACCAAGUGCCAUCCUGCCCAUUUGCACACCCAUGCAGAGAGGAGUCAGGAACUGCUAAUGAACGUACCAACUGUGUAUGAAAAAUCAGCCAAGCUCAGGCUUUGGGCUUUCAUUUCUCUGCUGAGAUCCUGACUCUAGACUGCCUGUGAGAAACAUGAGCAUGGCUUCAACCACAAUGUGAACAGAGAGCAAGACUAAUAAAAGUGAGGUUCUCCUGGAAUAUGAGUUAAAAAUGAGCACUGUCUUGGAGCAAGCCAAUUGUAUCCCAUUAUUAUUUCCUGACUUGGUCUGGUAACAUCUUAAAAUACAAGCAAAACUACCUUCUUCUUUUUAGGACCUAUGACCUUUUAAAUCUUGCUUUCCAAGAUUUAAGAACUGGCAAGUAUGGUUACUUUUUAGAAUAAGUUUCCUAUUCUUUCCUCACUUCGUCUCGCCUCCCUCCCUUCUUUCCCUUUUUCCUCCCUUCUUUUUAAUACAAUAAACUACCUAGCUAUUUUUGACUGAAAUGGAUCAAAAUCCGGAUGAGUGCAAUCUUGAGUAUGUCUAGAGACAUGUGCGUCUAGAGUAUGUCUAGAGACAAGCUGCACCCUUUGUGCAGCUUUUCUGCGCAUUCAUGUCUAUCAUAAUAAUAAUAGCUACUAUUUAUUGAGCAUUCAGUAUGCACCGAGCAUUGUGCUAUGAGCUCUGCAUAUAUUACCACAUUUAAUGCAAUUAUUAAAACUGAAGAAAAGUGGAACUUCUCCUUUCUGUAUUUCAGUAAUUCUUCAUUAAUAUUCCUUCAUAGAUAUGCCACUAUACCUAGCCCAAGCCCAGAUGAUGACUACUGCCAAGGAUAAGGUUGUUUCAAUGUGUAAAUAUUAUUUGUAUUCUAGAGGCAAGUGGGAGAUGUCGUCUUCAAAGCAGUAAAUCUGUGCUCACUUUCUGGAAGUUUGCUCCCAAGGGACUUGAAUGUCUUAAAGUGAAUUAAAUUAUUUGCUUCCAAAGCUUGGUCUUGGGCAAGCUAUUCAAUCUCUUGUGUGUGAAUUUCCUCAACUUUAAAAUGAGACUUAAUGGGUGUAUAUGAGGGACUUAGAACAGUACAUGGCAUAUUAAUUGCUCAGUGAACGUUAGCUAUUAUCAUUGUCAUUGUUAAAUUAUCACAACACUCUGAAGAAGGCAUUAUCAUCCCCAUUUUACAGAUGAGGAAACUGAGGCAAAAAGAAUUCAAUAACUUGCCCAAGGUCACAUAGCAGUCAGUGAGGGAGGUGAUGAUUCUCACCCUAGGUUACUCUCAGUUCAGAAUCUACAAGUAAAAUAUGAUUUUACCUCUCACUAUAGAAAGUGAUAUGUGGUCAUGGCUGUAUAGAAAACUUCUUUCUCCUAUAGGAAACCUGAGCUAUAAAGUAGACAUAAAAUGUCCUGAAGACUGGAAACGUGUCACAUGAGAAGCAUUUUCGAUCCCUCUGGUAGAGAAGGAGUGCUUAAUUACCAUGUGCCACUGCUGUUAACCUUUGCAAAUAAGUCUAAUUAUCACAGAUUAAUGAACAGAGCUUAGGCACAUCUAAAGGGGCUUUGCUGAGGGGUUUUCAUUUCUGCAUUUCAUUAGCUCCAUAAACGCUGUUGUUCCCCAUGCACACGGUUAUAGGACUUUUAUUAUUUUUUUAGCUGCGCUCUGUGAAAUAUCAACAACAGAGCCUGCGAAAUAGCUCAGGGCAGGGAUCGCUUUCCAGGAAAUCUUUAGGAAGCCUGUAAGUUGGGUGGCUGCUGCUUCACUGUUUACUGAUGAAUCAUGCCACAUUGGUUUAUAGGGAAUAAAGCCUUAGACAGUCGCCAAGGAAACAGGCUGAGAUUUUGGAAAUAUCUGAAACCACAGAAAAAAUUUCCAGAAAAAAAUCAAUGUCUUAGUCAAGAGUCAGGUUAACCUUAUCUGCAUCAAGAAACCAUGUUUGCUAUACUCAUCCUGGAAAGUGGCCAUCCUGCUGGUCCUUAGAGCAGGCUGUGCCUGGGAGCCAUCUUUGAAUAUCCUCUGAGCUCAGAGGGAGAGACAUACCUCUAGUGAGGAUCCUGGAAACCUCCGUGUGACAUUGUGGCAAGAGAGCAAGCUGGUAGUUCGCAAAGGGCUGCCGCCAUUCAGAGGCUGGGACCUCAGGAAGAUCUUUGGCACAAUCUACUAGACACGUUUCAUUAAUAAAUGAUUAGAUUUGCAAAUCUUGUCAGUAGAGAUUGCUAUCACAGAAUUAAUGAAAUAAAUAAUGAAACAUUUCCAGUGUUUCUGGCUGGCUUUCAGAGCAGAGUAGAUCUCUGCCUUUGUUGCAAUUUAUGGCUGUCUCUUUGAUCAACUCCUGGGGAGUUCAAGGAAUGAUUUUCCUGCUUCCAACACACGCCUUCGGCUUUUAGGUUUGCCUUUUUUUUUUUUUAACUUGACUUUUCAUAUCAUUUUGAGCUUCAAACACAAAGGUUCCCCAGGAUAAUUUCAGAUAAAGAAACCCAGCAGAGUGAAUAAUCUGCAGUAAAGAAAAUCUGAAUUGUACUUUGAGAAACAACCCAUUUGAUGCUGGGUUAGGGAAGGGGUACGGGAGGGAUUUUGCUCACAAAUGAACACAAAAAACGUUCAUGAUUUUAUUCAAAUGUCUCCAUUCUGCACAGCCUAAAGCUGAGAGCAUUUCCUGAUCCAGAAGCAAACCAAGAUGCCACCCAGUGUGGAUUACCCAGCAGGCAGACAAAGCAUAUGUUCAGGACAUUAGCAAUGCCAGGUGGCUGACAUUUCUUUUGUUCAAAAAGAAGAAACAAGAUUUUUCAUAUCUCAAAAAAAAAAGUGUCAAAAUAGUCAUGGAGAAAUCAGAAUGUUGUUGGAGAAAUAAAAGCUCAUUUUCUGA